Molecule: long non-coding RNA, 750 nt
Filed under: Medicago truncatula (barrel medic)
Lineage: Eukaryota; Viridiplantae; Streptophyta; Magnoliopsida; Fabales; Fabaceae
Description: lncRNA gene2366
Source: RNAcentral
GCUUAUAAUUAAAUCUCUCUUAAGGACAUCAAAGUGUCAUGUUUGUCUUUUAAACACCCUCAAUAAGGAGGACCAUAGACUAAAAAUUUUACGAGUCUUAAAACUAAGUAUUGGUUCUGUAAUAACAAAUGAGAGCAAUGGAAUUUACAAAGCAAGCUUAUGUUGAAAGUCAGAGUCUGAAGACCAUCAAAGUUUGAAGAACAUCAGAAGCUGACUGCCAGAGUCUGAAGUUCGUCAGAGUUUCAAGUUAAGAACCUGGAGUUAGUUAUAUUUGGUUAUUUUAAGACAUAAGUUUGGAGAAGGAAUAAAAGCCUAGAGCAACGACAAUUUCAGAGGAAUUAGAAGGCAUUGAAUACUUAUUCACUAAAGAGCGCAUAAAAAGGACAAUUGUACAACCACUACUCCACUCUUGACUCUUGUCUGCACAUAGUACAACUACAACUGUGUCUACACUGUUUAAUUCUCCAAACAAGGAAUGGAUUUCAAAUUAUUCCCUCCUAGGACAUUAACCAAAUCAAGCAAUAGAUCAUUGGUGAUGAUCAAACUUCUAAAACGAAUCUUUUGAUGUGCUGGCAUUUCUACAACGUAUGUCUCAUACCUCUAUAUAAAGGAAUGAAGACUUGAAGAUUUGUAGAGACUGAACAAUAAUUUACCUGUGCCAAAACUCGGCUGAAAUUGUUGCACAUCAGUUCACUAAUAUUUUCUUAUAAACUUUUAUAUCUUAGAAAUUCUAGAGUCUUAAGAGUCUGU